This 282-nucleotide long non-coding RNA is filed under the name Hordeum vulgare. RNAcentral describes it as "long non-coding RNA (HVUL_LNC017265)". Lineage: Eukaryota; Viridiplantae; Streptophyta; Magnoliopsida; Poales; Poaceae. The record is from RNAcentral.
CCAGAAUGUCUUGCGGGUUUCAUCUACAUUAUAAAAAUAGUUCGAACUAGGUGCAAUAUUUGUGCCCAGCGCGUACGCAUGUGGUGUGUCCUGAUAUAAAUGUACCAUAUGAAAGAGCUAUCCCAACUAAGUGCAGAACAUGCAUGAAUUACGUAUGUGGUAUAUGCUUGUUUGAAAGAAUCAACAAACGGCUAAGAUUUAUGCCUUGCUCAGCCUCAUUUGUGUCGGGUGGCUUUGUUGUGAGUUAUGAUCAUAUUCCGUCUAUCUUCUCAUGCUUAAAUA